This 372-nucleotide ribosomal RNA is filed under the name uncultured organism. RNAcentral describes it as "bacterial SSU rRNA". It matches the Rfam family "Bacterial small subunit ribosomal RNA", at positions 526 to 896 of the family's 1533-position model. The record is from RNAcentral.
CGAAGGUGGCAAGCGUUACUCGGAAUUACUAGGCGUAAAGGGCAGGUAGGUGGUUUGGUAAGUCUAUUGUGAAAGCUCCCGGCUUAACUGGGAGAGGUCAAUGGAUACUGCUGAACUUGAGUAUAGGAGAGGGUACUGGAAUUCCCGGUGUAGCGGUGAAAUGCGCAGAGAUCGGGAGGAACACCAAUGGCGAAAGCAGGUACCUGGACUAUUACUGACACUAAGCUGCGAAAGCUAGGGGAGCAAACAGGAUUAGAUACCCUGGUAGUCCUAGCUGUAAACGAUGCACAUUAGACGUGAGGGGUAUCGACCCCCUUCGUGUCGACGCUAACGCAUUAAAUGUGCCGCCUGGGGAGUACGGCCGCAAGGUUG